ACUGUCUUAGUAUAUAUAUUAUAUUAGCUUUUCGUGCUUGAGAGGAUGUUUUGUACAUCAGACAGUG
Molecule: transfer RNA, 67 nt
Filed under: Rhinebothrium flexile
Lineage: Eukaryota; Metazoa; Platyhelminthes; Cestoda; Rhinebothriidea; Rhinebothriidae
Description: tRNA-Glu
Source: RNAcentral